AAAAGAAACCAACUGGGAUUGACCUUAGUAACGGCGAGUGAAGCGGUAAAAGCUCAAAUUUGAAAUCUGGUACUUUCAGUGCCCGAGUUGUAAUUUGUAGAAUUUGUCUUUGAUUAGGUCCUUGUCUAUGUUCCUUGGAACAGGACGUCAUAGAGGGUGAGAAUCCCGUUUGGCGAGGAUACCUUUUCUCUGUAAGACUUUUUCGAAGAGUCGAGUUGUUUGGGAAUGCAGCUCAAAGUGGGUGGUAAAUUCCAUCUAAAGCUAAAUAUUGGCGAGAGACCGAUAGCGAACAAGUACAGUGAUGGAAAGAUGAAAAGAACUUUGAAAAGAGAGUGAAAAAGUACGUGAAAUUGUUGAAAGGGAAGGGCAUUUGAUCAGACAUGGUGUUUUUUGCAUGCACUCGCCUCUCGUGGGCUUGGGCCUCUCAAAAAUUUCACUGGGCCAACAUCAAUUCUGGCAGUAGGAUAAAUCAUUAAGAAUGUAGCUACCUCGGUAGUGUUAUAGCUUAUUGGAAUACUGCUAGCUGGGAUUGAGGACUGCGCUUCGGCAAGGAUGUUGGCA
Molecule: ribosomal RNA, 561 nt
Filed under: Hanseniaspora opuntiae
Lineage: Eukaryota; Fungi; Ascomycota; Saccharomycetes; Saccharomycodales; Saccharomycodaceae
Description: eukaryotic LSU rRNA
Rfam family: Eukaryotic large subunit ribosomal RNA
Source: RNAcentral